Molecule: long non-coding RNA, 3372 nt
Filed under: Marmota monax (woodchuck)
Lineage: Eukaryota; Metazoa; Chordata; Mammalia; Rodentia; Sciuridae
Source: RNAcentral
GAUGUAUUAUGCAUAUAUUAUUUAAACAUAUAGAUAUAGAAUUAAAUACAUAGAUAUAAUAAAUGUGUAAGUUUAUAUAUGAACUUAUAUAUAAGCUUAUGUAUUUAUCAUAUUUAUAUAUUCCUCCAUUAACUCAACAAAUAUUUGGUACCUACUAUGGGCCAGAUCCUUGUUGGUAGCAUUUGCUGGAGGGGGCAGGAAAUGAAUUAAUAAAUGAAUGAUUCAGUUCUGUGCUAAAAGCAGCUCAUUGCUUAGUGGAAAAGAAAAGAACUGAACCAUUAAUUCUGCUUCAGUGAGGAAAAAUGCAAAGUAUAAAAUGUUAUUAAAACGAGAAUAGAGAGUUAUACUCCUGACCAUCAACUCUGUGUCAUUUCUUCAGGUCAUCAUGAAUCAUAUGCCCUGUCUUUUAUUUACCAUCACCUUGUGUUGGGGGGGAUAAAGACAAAACAAAUCUUACCUUAAAUGUAUAUAGUGAUUGUAGGUUGCGUCUUAGUUUCAGAAAUGUAUGUGAAGAAAAAUCAAAAUGUAGGCGGGUGUGGUAGUGCACACCUGUAAUCCCAGCAACUUGGGAGGCUGAGGCAGGAGGAUUGCAAGUUCAAAGCCAGCCUCAGCAAAAGUGAGGCCUUAAGCAACUCAGUGAGACCCUGUCUCUAGAUUAAACACAAAAUAGAGCUGGAUGUGGCUCAGUGGGCGAGUGCCCCUGAGUUCAAUCCCAGAUACCCACAUACACACAAAAAGACCUUUCACAACAGGAUGACUAAUUAUUUUGAUUUAAAUGCCCAUAGAGAACCAAAUAAAUUCUUGCAUGUACACACACAAGACUUAGCUUGCUUAUACUUAUUGGAAACACUUCCUUCCAAGGAUGGCUCAGGCUCAUCCCACCAGCUGUAGGAUUGCAAAAGUGAGGAUUUUUUUUAAAAGGAAUUUCAGUGUAAGGGAAAAGAAAACUGUUCCCCCUAACUUUAAUGUACAUCACAUUCACCUGGAGGGCUUGUUAAAACACCAAGUCUUAACCUCUCUUCCCUAAUUUCUGGUUUAUUAGGUCAAGAAUGGGGUCUAGGAACUUUUUUUUGGCACCAGUGUCACUUUUAGUGUCGGUUUCCAAGGCCUCCCUUAAUUAUGUCUGCCUGAAUACUUGAGAACAUCUCCUGUGUCCUUGACCAACCGGAAUCUCUUCUCUCUCUGCCUCUUGGUAUCCGGUUCACUGUGCUGGACUCAAGAACUUACUUUGAGAACUGACGGGUUCCCUGAGGGGUGCUAAGAACUUAUGCCAGCACCAUCAGAUGGGCAGAGUGGUCUAUGGGUACCAGCUUUGUGGCAUUUAGGUGUCCCACCAUCCCUGUGAGAUGCGGACUGUGGUCAUUCUUGCAUCCCAGAGGAGGAAACUGAAGCAAAGAGUUUAAGUGACCUUCCCUCUUAGCUGAACAAGAAUUCAGUCCAGCCCGUGGGACCCGAGUGUAGGCACUUGAAAGCCCAGUUGUCCAAUCCUUGGGUCAACAGCAAGAGAAAGCAAACUAGAGCAACCCCAUCCACCACGAUCCAGAAGGCCCCCCUAUUUUCCCCUCAGACGCCUGCUUCCCUCCUAAUCUAAAAAAAAAACAACAAACAAACCAGAAUACCUAUUAAUCAGAAACAAAGAAUCCCUGCCAUCGCAUGUUGCUGUUUGUGCCAGCAUCGCCAGGGAGAAGCUCCACCAUCCAUUAUUUUGAUGGGUGCUGAAGGGAGGAGAAGGAUGAGAUCAGCCCUCAAUGGAUCCAGAAAUUAUUGGCAAGUACCACCAGAAGGGGUGUGUUUCACUGAGGAGAAGCCACGUGUGUGGUGAGCAGUUAUCUGCUUUGAAAUGCAACCUCAGACAAAAGUCUUACAAAGGGAAAAAAUGAACAUCAGGAAUGGAGAAGGAAGAUGACCAGGGGGAAAGGCUGUGCUCUCCCUUAUCGGAGAUCUCCAGGGUUGCGCCAUAUUUCUGCAAUACGAGAGGACUGAAGUGCAGAUGACUUCCAACCUUCUGAUCCAGGUGUGUUCCUAGGCAGAAAAAAAAUGACCCUACAUUUGUCUGUUUGCAGUGAUAAAAGGUUAAAAAAAAAAAAAAAAAGGCCGGGUGUGGUGGUGCAAGCCUGUAAUCCCAGCAGAUUGGGAGGCUGAGGCAGGAGGAUCACAAGUUUAAGGUCAGCUUUAACAAAAGUGAGGCCCUAAGCAACUCAGUGAGACCCUGUCUCCGAAUAAAGUACAAAAUAGGGCUGGGGAUAUGGCUCAGUGGUUAAGUGCUCCUGAGUUCAAUCCCCGAUAAACCCCCAACCCCAAAAAUAAGGUAUAAAAAUUUUUUUGUUGUUUUUAUUUCCAGAUAAAUGUAAAAAUUCUGCAUGAAAUUGAGCUAAAACUGCAGCUUGGCAGGAAGAGUGUUUAUGAACGGUUGGGAGGGAUGACAAGAGCGUGGUGUCUUUUUUUCUGUGCUUUUCCUUUGGAAGCGUGUGUGUUUAGAUUUGCUCGACAACCUGCCAGGUGGUUUUGUGUGGGAUGGGUCUUGACUCCAGUGUAUUUUGUGUUUAUUGUUUUAGAAUCACUGGCCCCAAUAAGUCUUCCUGUUCAACAUGGAUUUUCCAGUAAAUGGCAAAGGCCCCCUUAAAUCUGUCUGCAGUUCUCAAGAGACUGGUCCAAAGCCUUCCCAGGAACCAUGGGUGGGCAUCUAUGGAAGGGCUCACGGUCAUGUUUAUUUACUCACUUUGGAGGUAGGAGCCUGCCCUUCAGCUCAGAGAAGGAACACAGACGGUGAUCUGCAGUUGAAAGCUAGUGAAAGCUAAAUGGUUGGGCUUGAGGGGGCUGGCGGGAACCCAAAUCCGGCCAAGGUCAGCAUGGAGUGCUGCUAGGGCUGCAUUAGCAUUAUCAUGGUCAACAUUAUUUCCCCAAUUAUCCUUUAAUGGGUCCAAUUUACCUUCAAGUCUGUAACUAAGACACAGAUUCCUUAUCUUCUGUUCCGCAGUCCUCAGACAGAUCCAAAGCAAAUUUCAGCCUUCCCAGCUCUGAAGCCAAUCUUGAUCUUUUCCAACAGUUAUUCUGUUCUUAUUUUUGUGUCUGCCUCAGACUGGCCAUUAAACCCAGACUCCCACUGUAUAACCAUGAUUGUUCAUAUAGAUACGGGCUACUCAGCUUGUAAGUCCAUGGAAGGUGCCUUUGUAAAGUAAUGUUCAGUGUCAUUUUGGGUAUAGGUGAUGCCACUAGGCUUGGAUACAAAGCUUUUUUAAAAUCGAGAAAUUCUCAGUAGGGCGAAAUGUCAUACACCUAUAAUCCCAGCCACUGGGGAGGCUGAGAGAGGGGGAUCCUGAGUUCAAAGCCAGCCUCAGCAAAAGUGACAACAAGUCUCUAAAUAAAAUACAC